Molecule: ribosomal RNA, 461 nt
Filed under: Priestia megaterium
Lineage: Bacteria; Bacillati; Bacillota; Bacilli; Caryophanales; Bacillaceae
Description: bacterial SSU rRNA
Rfam family: Bacterial small subunit ribosomal RNA
Source: RNAcentral
GGCGUAAGCGCGCGCAGGCGGUUUCUUAAGUCUGAUGUGAAAGCCCACGGCUCAACCGUGGAGGGUCAUUGGAAACUGGGGAACUUGAGUGCAGAAGAGAAAAGCGGAAUUCCACGUGUAGCGGUGAAAUGCGUAGAGAUGUGGAGGAACACCAGUGGCGAAGGCGGCUUUUUGGUCUGUAACUGACGCUGAGGCGCGAAAGCGUGGGGAGCAAACAGGAUUAGAUACCCUGGUAGUCCACGCCGUAAACGAUGAGUGCUAAGUGUUAGAGGGUUUCCGCCCUUUAGUGCUGCAGCUAACGCAUUAAGCACUCCGCCUGGGGAGUACGGUCGCAAGACUGAAACUCAAAGGAAUUGACGGGGGCCCGCACAAGCGGUGGAGCAUGUGGUUUAAUUCGAACCAACGCGAAGAACCUUACCAGGUCUUGACAUCCUCUGACAUCUCUAAAGAUAGAUCGUUCC